UACAGAGGUCUCGAGCGUUAGUCGGAUUCAUUGGGCUUAAAGCGUGCGUAGGCGGAUGUGCAGGCGUCGUGUGAAAGCCCUCGGCUCAACCGGGGAAUUGCACGGCGAACCGCAUGUCUUGAGACAAGUAGGGGCGGUCGGAACGAUAGGUGGAGUGGUGAAAUGCGUCGAUAUCUAUCGGAACGCCAAAGGUGAAGACAGACCGCUGGGCUUGUUCUGACGCUGAGGCACGAAAGCGUGGGGAGCAAACGGG
This 253-nucleotide ribosomal RNA is filed under the name uncultured bacterium. Its description in RNAcentral is "partial 16S ribosomal RNA". It matches the Rfam family "Bacterial small subunit ribosomal RNA", at positions 524 to 776 of the family's 1533-position model. The record is from RNAcentral.